GAUAAUUAUUUAAGGGCCGCAGUAUUCUGACUGUGCAAAGGUAGCAUAAUCAUUAGUCUUUUAAUUGAAGGCUUGUAUGAAUGAUUGGACGAGAUAUAAUCUGUCUCAUAAAAAUUUAGGUAGAAUUUUAUUUUUUAGUCAAAAAGCUAAAAUAAAUUUAAAAGACGAGAAGACCCUAUAGAUCUUUAUAAUUUAUUUAUUAAUUUUUUUAGGUUAUUUUUUGAAUUAAUAAUUAAAAUUAUUUUGUUGGGGUGACAAUGAAAUUUAAUAAACUUUCAUAAAUAUAAAACAUUGAUUUAUGAAUAAUUGAUCCAGUAUUACUGAUUAAAAAGUUAAGUUACCUUAGGGAUAACAGCGUAAUUAUUUUGGAGAGUUCUUAUCGAUAAAAUAGUUUGCGACCUCGAUGUUGGAUUAAGAUUAAUUCUGGGUGUAGCAGUUCAGAGUAUUAAGUCUGUUCGACUUUUAAUUUCUUACAUGAUC
RNAcentral lists this ribosomal RNA (480 nucleotides) under Paraclius digitatus. RNAcentral's name for it is "partial 16S ribosomal RNA". It matches the Rfam family "Bacterial large subunit ribosomal RNA", at positions 1912 to 2605 of the family's 2925-position model. Lineage: Eukaryota; Metazoa; Arthropoda; Insecta; Diptera; Dolichopodidae. The record is from RNAcentral.